This 77-nucleotide unclassified non-coding RNA is filed under the name Algibacter luteus. Its description in RNAcentral is "Arenitalea lutea Flavo-1 RNA". The record is from RNAcentral. Lineage: Bacteria; Pseudomonadati; Bacteroidota; Flavobacteriia; Flavobacteriales; Flavobacteriaceae.
AUUUUGCGCAAGGGAUUGUAGUAGAAAGCCCGCAGUGAGGCGCGAACGAGGACUUGUAUCGUAAAGCCCGACCCUUG